AGCUGAUGCGGGGACUGAUCAAGAAUGGUAACAUUUUGGGCAUCCACAUGCUUUACAAUACCCAAAGUAGUGAAACCGGUGCCACCGCCAACAUCUACAACUAGCAAAUUCCUGUUAUUGAGAUCCGCAGGCUCUAGCGCAUCGUCUCUCAUGUCCUCAGUCCAGUGCCCAGGAUUUAUCACAUGAUCAUAUACAAUUGACAGGAACCGGUAGAACCAAAAAGCCUCUUUCUUGUGUU
This 238-nucleotide unclassified non-coding RNA is filed under the name Hevea brasiliensis (rubber tree). Lineage: Eukaryota; Viridiplantae; Streptophyta; Magnoliopsida; Malpighiales; Euphorbiaceae. The record is from RNAcentral.